This is a long non-coding RNA of Capsicum annuum, 1468 nucleotides long. RefSeq lists it as uncharacterized. The record is from RefSeq and is a predicted model, not a curated record. Lineage: Eukaryota; Viridiplantae; Streptophyta; Magnoliopsida; Solanales; Solanaceae. The transcript has 2 exons.
UUUAUAAAUCCCAAAAUCCAAAAAAAUAAGGAAAAAAUGAAAAGAAAAUGGAUCCAAAUUUGUACAAUCCAAAUUUUGACAUGAAAGCGAAAUAUGAAAACAUCAAAAUCCCUUUCUUGUGAUCAAGGCAAGCACUAGAUCCCUUUAUUCUUUGAAAUUCAUUAAGAUUCUAAUUAAUUUUUCCUAUAUAUAAUAAUGUUUCAUCCAGAGAAAGCAAAGGACUCACAGGAUUGUCAAAUUAGGACUAUAUUUGGAAGAAGAUCUAACCCCUUAUUUACGCAUUUAUCGUGUUGACACAUCCAGAUUGCAUUAGAUCACUAUGGGGUUGGAAUUCACUGCAUUAUGCUGUUCCAAUUAGGACUGAUAGAUGUAGUUUCUUAUAUGCUGGAGUGGAAAAAAUCCUUAGUGUACCUUCCGGCAGGAACUAAAAAUGACUGGACGACAUCAAUUCACAUUGCAGCCAGUGAAGGUGACGUAAACAUGAUAAAUAAGCUAUUAAAUCACUGCCUUGAUUGUUGGGAUAUGCUUAACAGAAACAAUCAAAAUGCUCUUCAUGUUGUCGUAUUGAACAAUCAAGACAAGGUAGUCCGCGUCUUAUUAGGCUCUGAUAAGUGCGACAGCCUUGUUGAUGAGCCAGACAACGACGGCAACACUCCUCUCCAUUUGCUUGCUGCCUCUGGUGACCAUGUGCCUGAAUUAAUAAACCAUCCUAGAGAAAAGAAGAUGUCAUUUAACAAACAAAACUAGACUCCACUUGAUAUUCAAAGCAACGACAAAAUAGGAGAAAUUGGUGGAGGAUUUGUGUAGCAUUGGCCGAUUUGGAAAACGUGACUUUGAGGUAAAGCGGAAGUACGAGUACAUGCCCAAUCCAAAUGAUGAAACGGGAACAGGAGUCAAAAUACAACUGAGGGAAGAUAAUCAAGAUAAAGCUAAAAAGGCAGAUCAAACAGUAAUCGAAAGUAUUAUGAAGUCAGCUCAAAUCCAUGUUGUUGUGGCCACUUUGAUAAUGACUGUCACUUUCACCGCUGGUAUCACAUUGCCAGGAGGUUUUGAGAGCGACCCUUAUAGCUCUAAUCAAGGGAUGGCGAUUCUAAUAAGGAAAACAGCAUUUCGUGCAUUUGUUGUUUUUGAUGCCAUUGCCUUCACAUGCUCAGGUGUUGCCAUAUUCAUCUACUUCCUCAUGGCAGAUUUCAUCAAAAUAAGAAAGCUGUAGAGAAGUUUUAUGAUCUCGCAGGUAUUUUUCAGUGCUUGUCAAUGUUAGCAGUUGUAAUUGCAUUCGCAACGGGUAUGUUUGCUACCUUAUCACAUUCCUUUGGUCUUGUCGUUACUGUCUGUUUCAUAGGUUGCCUCUCUAUUUUAUUGUACUUCUUGGUUUUUAUCUAUAUUUGUAGAUUUUUGUGAUGAGAGUUUCUACUUAUUGCUUCCAAAUGUAUAAUUCAACUACAUAUAUUUCAGUUUUUACCCAAUA